Molecule: non-coding RNA, 45 nt
Organism: Strongylocentrotus purpuratus (purple sea urchin)
Lineage: Eukaryota; Metazoa; Echinodermata; Echinoidea; Camarodonta; Strongylocentrotidae
Source: Rfam
CAAACGGCUCUUAUCAGAGCCACCCAAACUUCAAGAAAGAAACAU